AUCAUCACCCAGGACCUCAAGUGGGAGCUGAACAUCAGCUCCAUCACCAAGAAGGCUCAGCAGAGCAGCUGAGAGGCGAGCGGAGAAGAAGGCACAAGGAUGUAGCUUCCCAUCUGCCGGCUGCUGGGAAAGCACUGCCCCUACUGCCGCCUCAGAUGCAUCUACCUCGACCACAAAGGAGAGAGAGGGAUCAGAGGAUGGUUGGGGCCAAUCCCGAACAACUUGAGUCUUCUUGGGAUCUGUGAGAAGACCGCCCUUGGACAGGAUGAAGCCCAAAAAGGACACCUCAGAGACGUGGAACUCACAUUUUUCAGGUUUUACAAAGUCAAUAAAAGUCAAUAAAAAAAAUGAAUUAAAA
Long non-coding RNA from Gasterosteus aculeatus aculeatus (three-spined stickleback), 358 nucleotides. The record is from Ensembl. NCBI's taxonomy places the organism in Eukaryota, Metazoa, Chordata, Actinopteri, Perciformes, Gasterosteidae.